Molecule: ribosomal RNA, 551 nt
Filed under: uncultured Acaulospora
Lineage: Eukaryota; Fungi; Glomeromycota; Glomeromycetes; Diversisporales; Acaulosporaceae
Description: SSU rRNA
Rfam family: Eukaryotic small subunit ribosomal RNA
Source: RNAcentral
UUGGAGGGCAAGUCUGGUGCCAGCAGCCGCGGUAAUUCCAGCUCCAAUAGCGUAUAUUAAAGUUGUUGCAGUUAAAAAGCUCGUAGUUGAAUUUCGGGAUUUAUCCGUCGGUCGGGCUUUUGGGUCUGUACUGGCGUGAUGGAUUCCUACCUUCUGAAUAACCGGCAUGUCAUUAAUUUGGUGCGCCGGGGAAGCAGGACUGUUACCUUAAAAAAAUUAGAGUGCUUAAAGCAGGCUUAUGCCUGAAUACAUUAGCAUGGAAUAAUGAAAUAGGACGGCAUGGUUCUAUUUUGUUGGUUUCUAGGAUCACCGUAAUGAUUAAUAGGGAUAGUUGGGGGCAUUAGUAUUCAAUUGUCAGAGGUGAAAUUCUUGGAUUUAUUGAAGACUAACUUCUGCGAAAGCAUUUGCCAAGGAUGUUUUCAUUAAUCAAGAACGAAAGUUAGGGGAUCGAAGACGAUCAGAUACCGUCGUAGUCUUAACCAUAAACUAUGCCGACUAGGGAUCGGACGAUGUUAAUUUUUUAAUGACUCAUUCGGCGCCUUACGGGAAAC